RNAcentral lists this ribosomal RNA (301 nucleotides) under uncultured bacterium. RNAcentral describes it as "partial 16S ribosomal RNA". It matches the Rfam family "Bacterial small subunit ribosomal RNA", at positions 509 to 807 of the family's 1533-position model. The record is from RNAcentral.
CAGCCGCCGCGGGAACACGAAGGGUGCAAGCGUUAAUCGGAAUUACUGGGCGUAAAGCGUGCGUAGGCGGUUUGUUAAGUCUGUUGUGAAAUCCCCGGGUUCAACCUGGGAAUGGCAAUGGAUACUGGCAAGCUAGAGUGUGUCAGAGGAUGGUGGAAUUCCCGGUGUAGCGGUGAAAUGCGUAGAGAUCGGGAGGAACAUCAGUGGCGAAGGCGGCCAUCUGGGACAACACUGACGCUGAGGCACGAAAGCGUGGGGAGCAAACAGGAUUAGAUACCCCGGUAGUCCCUGUCUCUUAUAC